Molecule: ribosomal RNA, 247 nt
Filed under: uncultured Candidatus Saccharibacteria bacterium
Lineage: Bacteria; Candidatus Saccharimonadota
Description: partial 16S ribosomal RNA
Rfam family: Bacterial small subunit ribosomal RNA
Source: RNAcentral
CACGCUGUAAACGAUGGAUACUGGCUGUUGGAGGUAUCGACCCCUUCAGUAGCGAAGCUAACGCGUUAAGUAUCCCGCCUGUGGAGUACGGCCGCAAGGCUAAAACAUAAAGGAAUUGACGGGGACCCGCACAAGCGGUGGAUCGUGUUCUUUAAUUCGAUGAUAAACGAAGAACCUUACCAGGGCUUGACAUCCAGGGAAUUUCUGCGAAAGCAGUUAGUGCCUUUUGGAACCCUGUGACAGGUGC